ACAUGAUAUAAAUUAUUAACUUUUUACACAUACGGCAAAAUAUGUAUAAUAAAUAUCAAUUACGACAAUUUGUUAACUAGAGGAGAACCCGAGAGCGGUUAUUCCGCGAGCACACUCGUACGCCUCACGCACGGUAUGGCGUAUGGCACGGUACUGCGCUCCGUCGCUCGGUCGGUUACGUUCGGCCGCGGUCGGGCGCGGUCGGUUACGGCCUAGGUGACCUACGCUCGAGCCGAGCCGCCGAGCGGCGUCCCGAGUCGGCCGAGUAGUGUCGAGUAUGGCCAAGUGUCGGUCACGUAGUUCGUAGAGGAAGCGCAAUGGCGCGUGAGUGUGCUCGGGCUCGGAAUCGCGCAGCGCAGCAUAAUCGAUAAUUGCGAGGAUAAUUGUUUGGAUCUUUUUCGUGAAAGCCUAUGGGGGAACUGUACUCAUUGCGGUUAUCACGUUGCUCGUAUAAUUGUGGUUCGCCGCGCCGCGUUUUCGGGAGUGCCAAUCGAUUAAAAUUUUGAAACUGUAACCGUCGUCUGGCUCGUCGCGUCGCGCGUUUUUGCUUCGCGAGUGCCGUACGAAUAAAUGGACUGAAAGGGCUUUUCUCAUAACUCCCAUAUACGAUACAGUUCGAUCGAGAACUAGAAGUCGUAGCAUGGGUUUUAUAGAUUAGUCUAAUUAGUUCGACGCGCGAUUGUAGUAUAUAUGUUAUCGAUAAUCUCAGGUGCUUGCAAGUCGCGUACUCGCGUAAAGAACACGAUCGGUCUCGCGUUGAGCUUUCAUUUGGCGCGAAUCACUACCGUGUCUCUCUCGAUUCGCGAGUGUCCUGUGCAACGAGAGGAGGAGGAGGCCUGGGAAAGGCAUCGGGCUUCGGCAGAGUAACCGUGAGAAUUAUCGCAGCGUGUCCUUUACAACGAGAGGAUGAGGAGACCUGGUAAAGGCAUCGGGCCCCGGCAGAGCAACCUUGGGAAUCAUCGUAGCGACGUUGCUGAAUAACUCUGCCGCUGCGCAUCGGUCGGUGAGUGAUAAAUAAACUUUUAUAAUUAGAUAGACAGAAAUACCUAAAACGACAUUGGAUGAUCGCCCUCUCAGGUUCCUCUCUGUCGUUACCUUUCGUAGAAACGUUACUAUCAGUGAUGCUACAUUGAUAAAAAUAAAUAUUAUCGCCGCAAGGUAACUUAUGUUUUAAACAAGAAAUAUAUAGUUAGGAUAGUAUUAAAAAUCACCCUGUAUAGUUUAUUAUUACGGUAAUCUUUAUUUGGAUUGUACAGUAAAUUUAAAAAUUGCGAAUUAGUUUACAUUUACACAAAUCUUUGUGUUAGGCAAUUUCAUUAAAUAAUGUGAUUUAUUAUAAAUGG
Molecule: long non-coding RNA, 1343 nt
Organism: Monomorium pharaonis (pharaoh ant)
Lineage: Eukaryota; Metazoa; Arthropoda; Insecta; Hymenoptera; Formicidae
Exons: 3
Source: RefSeq, a predicted model, not a curated record